CUCUCCUCCUCUCCAAAUCUCCAUGAUUUUGGGGUUUUUUUUAUUCCUCCCAACAGUUUUGCCAAGCCUGGGAUGCCUCGAGCAGGUGGAAGGUCCCCAGCAGAACUCCAGAAGCUUUUCCAACCCUGCACCUCUGGCUUCAGCUCAUCUGGUUCUGAACCUGACAAGAAUUUUCCUUUUUUCUGCAGCAGGACCCAGUUUUGCCAAGCCUGGGAUGCCUCGAGCAGGUGGAAGGUCCCCAGCAGAACUCCAGGAGCUUUUCCAACCCUGCACCUCUGGCUUCAGCUCAUCUGGUUCUGGACCUGACAAGAAUUUUCCUUUUUUCUCCAGCAGGACCCAGCACCUGAGGAUGCUCGGAACCAGCCCAGCCCAGUCCUGGCGGUACCGGACUCCUAGCCUGGCGGUACCGGACUACAGCUCCCGGCGGGCCG
This is a long non-coding RNA of Calypte anna (Anna's hummingbird), 431 nucleotides long. RefSeq lists it as uncharacterized. The transcript has 3 exons. The record is from RefSeq and is a predicted model, not a curated record. Lineage: Eukaryota; Metazoa; Chordata; Aves; Apodiformes; Trochilidae.